This 429-nucleotide ribosomal RNA is filed under the name Bacteroidota bacterium. RNAcentral describes it as "Bacteroidetes bacterium partial 16S ribosomal RNA". It matches the Rfam family "Bacterial small subunit ribosomal RNA", at positions 355 to 776 of the family's 1533-position model. The record is from RNAcentral. Lineage: Bacteria; Pseudomonadati; Bacteroidota.
UAGGGAAUCUUCGGCAAUGGGGGGAACCCUGACCGGGCAACGCCGCGUGAGUGAAGAAGGUUUUCGGAUCGUAAAGCUCUGUUGUUAAGGAAGAACGAGUGUGAGAAUGGAAAGUUCAUACUGUGACGGUACUUAACCAGAAAGGGACGGCUAACUACGUGCCAGCAGCCGCGGUAAUACGUAGGUCCCGAGCGUUGUCCGGAUUUAUUGGGCGUAAAGCGAGCGCAGGCGGUUAGAAAAGUCUGAAGUGAAAGGCAGUGGCUCAACCAUUGUAGGCUUUGGAAACUGUUUAACUUGAGUGCAGAAGGGGAGAGUGGAAUUCCAUGUGUAGCGGUGAAAUGCGUAGAUAUAUGGAGGAACACCGGUGGCGAAAGCGGCUCUCUGGUCUGUAACUGACGCUGAGGCUCGAAAGCGUGGGGAGCGAACAGG